UAGUCGGAAACGCUUAGUUCUGCCUGUUACAUACUUUUCAAUGAAUCUAGUAAACUCUUUUACACUACGAGUAAGGUGGAUUAAAAACCUGUUAUAUAGAUCACGUAGGAACGAUAGAGAUCACAACUAAAUCAAUUUCCAACACUAAACAGAUGGCAAUAUAAUAAUAUUAAUAGAUGACGUAAAUUCCAAUACAGGCAACGAGAUGCAGCGUCUGCAAGACAGCUUCGAAAUUUCCUGGAGACGCACCGAAGGAUGGCGGUCGCCAGUAGCAGUGCCAGUCUAGUGGAGGCAACAACGAUGCCAGGCGCGGCGAGAAAACGGACGGCGCCAGCAAAAAUGGGCGACCAGUGCCAGAAGGGGGCAUGCUGAAACCUCCAGCAAAGAGGGCCACGGCGAAGAAGGCAAAAAAAGAAUUGCGCAGAACGCCCAGGAGAGAGCAAGCAGUGAAACGAGCACAACAAUGCCGCAGCCCAAAAACAUCCGAGUGGCGACAUUGCAGCCAUCACAGUCACCAAACCAACAGGCGCCAGCGCGACCAUUUUCAACUCCGACGUCAAUAUUAAAAAUAUUGAAGACACCCGUUCACAGACAUUGGGAAGCCCCCACCGACCGUGUCGGAUUUUCUUAUAACCCCACCUGAACCAAAUAUUAGUUCCUGAGACGAAUCCUGGCCAUCCCAUAUCUAUCCAAACACUUACAGAUCGACACAGUGGCGUCCGAGCAGGUUUAGGGGUUGCAAGGGAGCCGACACCGAGAGAGAAAUGUCGAGCUGUGUUAACCUGGCAACGAAGGAAACACGGGAUACGCAGCCGUGUUCGGAUUGGACACGUUAGGGAGAAACGAGGAAUUAAGGAGCGGAGAGGCGAAACGGGAAUCGUAGACCGGGUACGAAACUGGGGUAUCCGCUUUAAAGGCUCGAGCAACCCGUUAGAAUUCCUGAGCAAGAUGGAGCAAUGUGCCACCGGUUGCGGUAUCCAGAAAGACCAGCUCGACUAGACAAUGACGUUUAUCUUGGAAAGAGCUGUGAGAGAUUGGUGGAAUACAUUUUGCCACCGAGAUAUUUGAACAUUUAGGAAUGCAAAUCACUCAACUACGACAACGGGAAACGGAACCGGUACUGAUUCCGUUUACAAGGCCAUCAGAGGAUGAAAAACUCGACCGAAUCUAACGGAACUGCAGAAGCAAGAUAAAUCUAUACACGCGCAGUACAGGAUUCGAGACGCUAACACAGUUUCUCACGCUAGCAGAAGAAGUAGAGGAGAUAGAGGCCUCCGAGAGCCAAACAAGAGUCGAGCAACCACGUCAACAGCAGCUCCGACCAGACGUAUGCAUGCGGUGCGGCGGAACAGGUCACGCGGCACGAACCUGUGGCAACCUGGAUCUGCGGAAGGAACGGCAUGAGAACAACAGAAUUCUGCAGACCGGGAUCGGGAAACGCAGCAGGCCUGAGCAGUUAAAGCUCAGUUUAAAGGCUCAGGCGGCUACAUAAGAGCCAGCAGCAGAAUAGUUGAGUUGCGAUGGAUUCCACAUAAUAGCCAUGAUAAGAGUAUGAAGGAAAAUGGCGAAGGGAGUAGUGGAUACAACACGGAACAGGGCAAAUGGAGCGGUGCCCGAUCCGAGAUAACGCUGGCCAAUGGUUCAUAGCAAAACACCGUAAGAAAGUUUACAGAGGAAACCCGUUUAGGAAGAGUUCUUUGCACUAUGCAGCCACUUUUUUAAUGAAGGCCAAAAUUUCACUCUCUCCGCUCGCGAAAAAGUGAGAUCGUAGGAAAUCUAUAAAUAGAAAUUGCUUGCUUGCUACAAGAUGAUUUUUGAGGCGAAAUAAUUUUUAAUCCAUAUAACUAUUUUACAAGUUCGGAGUUCCCGCCAUUAAAGUUGCUAUCUGGAAUUGUUAUUACUUUUAUAUAUUUAUUAAGUGUAGAAUCCGUACAUCUUAUAAUUGUAUCUUAACAUCAUAGGGUGGAGAAAUAUUCUUCAGAAUUGCCAAACACUAUAUCAAAUUAAGCGAAGAAACUUUUUUUGAUAAUUAAAACCAUAAUGUAGGGCUACUAUAAGCCCUCUUAUUUAAAUAAAACACGAACGCAGGAGUUAGCCUCUUCGGUUUAUUCGGUACUUCGCAUUUCCAGCUUUGGCAUUCGACUGACUCCCUCUCCGUUAGCGAUCUGCCUCUAUGCUUGUUGCUACAGAGCCGAUGUUGCGAAACAGAGAGAAUGCCACCCGAAAGCGAACAAUGUCUUCAUGUUUAUAUACUUAAUGUUUAUAUACUAUGUUGCUAUACUGAACUUAUGUAUGCGUACCUCUAGCCUACUACAAUAAAAUUUCCAAAAAAUAAA
Drosophila sechellia is the source of this 2336-nucleotide long non-coding RNA. RefSeq lists it as uncharacterized. The record is from RefSeq and is a predicted model, not a curated record. The transcript has 2 exons. Lineage: Eukaryota; Metazoa; Arthropoda; Insecta; Diptera; Drosophilidae.